UAGAAGUUCUUAGUGCAGGCUGUGAAGCAGU
Molecule: non-coding RNA, 31 nt
Filed under: Rattus norvegicus (Norway rat)
Lineage: Eukaryota; Metazoa; Chordata; Mammalia; Rodentia; Muridae
Source: RNAcentral